GACGAACGCUGGCGGCGUGCUUAACACAUGCAAGUCGAACGAUGACGACCGAGCUUGCUCGGUCUGAUUAGUGGCGAACGGGUGAGUAACACGUGAGCAACCUGCCCUUCACUCUGGGAUAACCUCGGGAAAUCGGGGCUAAUACCGGAUAUGAGCUCCUGUCGCAUGGCGGGGGUUGGAAAGUUUUUCGGUGGAGGAUGGGCUCGCGGCCUAUCAGUUUGUUGGUGAGGUAGUGGCUCACCAAGGCGAGGACGGGUAGCCGGCCUGAGAGGGCGACCGGCCACACUGGGACUGAGACACGGCCCAGACUCCUACGGGAGGCAGCAGUGGGGAAUAUUGCACAAUGGGCGCAAGCCUGAUGCAGCGACGCCGCGUGGGGGAUGACGGCCUUCGGGUUGUAAACCUCUUUCAGCAGGGAAGAAGCGAAAGUGACGGUACCUGCAGAAGAAGCGCCGGCUAACUACGUG
RNAcentral lists this ribosomal RNA (467 nucleotides) under uncultured bacterium. Its description in RNAcentral is "partial 16S ribosomal RNA". It matches the Rfam family "Bacterial small subunit ribosomal RNA", at positions 28 to 507 of the family's 1533-position model. The record is from RNAcentral.